This is a non-coding RNA of Nothobranchius furzeri (turquoise killifish), 5928 nucleotides long. The record is from RefSeq and is a predicted model, not a curated record. Lineage: Eukaryota; Metazoa; Chordata; Actinopteri; Cyprinodontiformes; Nothobranchiidae.
AAUGCUGUGAAAACAUCAUUGUAAAAUGCUUCUUUUUAUUUUUGAUGAAACCGGAGCUCGUGCUCUUAUUUUGAAAGGCACACUUGCCUUUCUCAACAACUUCCGGUUAGCUUAACGUGUGCACUCGUUUUUUUUCUAACGUAUGAAAGGAAGCUGAUAUAUGCUGAAUACGUUCAGAUUAAUAUAAGAGACUAACAGCAAGCAAAACUUGUUUUCUCCCCUCCCAUUCGGAGCUACAAGCAGGCAAAGUGGUUAGUAGACUUUGUAACCUUUAUUUGUGAUUUAUGUGUUAUAUUUAUGUAAACAUAUUGUUUAUUCUGUCGGUUUGUAGUUCUACGGUGGUUUAUGGUGCUGCAUGAUGCUAGCUUUGCUAGUCAAUAACGGCACAAAUAAAGAACGCCAUCUGUAAAAAGAACUGGAGUCCUCGCGUGCUUCGAUGGGCGGCAUAGUAGAACACUUCACCACGCAAAGGAAAGGUGAAGACUCCAUAUGAAGAGCGAAGUGUGCCAAACCGUUGAGGACGUCGGGUAGAGGAGCAGUCUGCAGUUGAAGAUACAUCGUGUCAUCUGGUGAACGUUGUGUUGAGAAGAUUAAAGGAGCAGUAUGGACAAAGCUUAAAAGGUGGACACGUUAAAGUAAACGGGUCAGAAGUAGCAGAAAGAUCCAGAACUGCCAUGAACUUUUCAUCACACAUUCCAUCGUGUACAUCUUAAAGGAGCAGCGAAGCUUCCCUUCCACUUGGCUACACUGCAAGAGCUAAGUAACUUUAUAGGCAAAUCCACUCAUCAAGUAAUUUGAUUAGGAAAAAUAUAUAUAAAUAAAUAAUAUUAAGGGUUUAUUCUCUAGGUUAUGCAUAUAAUUGCAUUGUGUUUGCAUUAAGAUUGUGUGGAGGUUGCUGGUAAUUGUAUCACAGGAGAUUCUUAUUUGUGUUUCUGCCAAAUGUGCUGUUAACAUUUAUUUUAAGUUGUUUACAUAAGAGUUUAGACACAAGUUAAGCUCAAGUUAACGGCAGAAAAUUGUUCAACCUUUAUCUGUUUACUGAAAUUCAUUUUAUUCCUUUAGUUUACAACUCUAGUACAUUUAUAGGCUUAAAAGUACACAGUCAGUAUGUCACAAAGGGGUGAUAUUGAAAAUAUAUGUACUUCACAAGAGAAAGCUGAUAUUAAUGAGCAAGUAGAAGCAACUACAAAGGAAAUGCAAGCUCAGGUUGAGUCACAUAAGCAAGCUAGUGAGACGGUCACAUCAACUGCACUAGACUCACUGUCUCAAACUAAAGAUCUCCCACAUUCUGCAUGCAUUAGGAAAAGUGAACGCAAACGAACGCUCACUGAAAAAGGACAAGCUUUAGCAGAUGAUCGACUGAAGGAUCUGAAGGCACAGUUCAACAGAGCUUAUGAGCGGUGGAAGCACAAAAUAAAUGGACUGAAAAAGGCCAUAAAGUACAAUGAUGAUUCUGAGCUAACGGAGAUCAUGAGUAAAAUAAAUACAAACCAAGUUGAGAUAGAUAAUAUUUAUCUUAAAAUAAGAGAUACUGUACAUCCAGAUCAUCCAAAUUCAGAAAUCCGCAGAAUCAACGAUACCUGCCAAUCGCUCACCAAGGUUGCAAAUAAAAAGGCACAGAAGUUUCUCAUCAAUGAUGGAAAGACCAGACAUUCAAAGGAGUAUUCGUACAGGUCACAAGAUGCUAGACAAGCUGCAGCAGAAGCAGCUGCCACAGAGGAAGUCCUAAAAAUAAUGAAAGCUCAACAUGACUGUGAAGAAGAAAUCUGGAGACUUGAGCAGGCAGAUCAAGUGUUGGCAGCUGAAAAAGAAGCAGAGGAAAUUAGGCAGAAAGCUGAAAAUGAGGCUGAGAAUGCAAGGAAAAGAGCUCAGUUUAUUGCAGAAAGUGCAGCUAGAAAGAUGAAGGUUGAGGAGAAGAAGAAAGAAGUUGAACGAUUAGAGGAACUUAAAAGGCUUAACGCAGCAAAGGCAAGGCUGAAAGUGUAUUCUGAAAUUGUUCAUAGUGACGAUGAAGAAGAUCAUCUGUUGCCACCUCCUCUACCACAAAAUCCAGCACUUUCUCAACCUCUUAGCUCACAAGAAAGGCAUCCUCAAAUCCUUCCAGCAAACCAAUCCGUAGCUCAACAACCAUACCAGGUUACAGUCACUAAAAGCUUUACUCCUCAUUCACCAAUCUAUACCUCAGUAUCUGUGCCACAAGCAUCUUCAUUUAAUAAACCAACUGUGAACUAUCAGUCCAAUCCCAUUCAAACAGUUACAUCAAACAACCCAAAUGACACAACCAAUGAAUUGGUUAAAACAUUAGCGGAAGCUAUCGCUGCAAAUCGAAUCCCAAUUCCUGAACCUGCUGUUUUCACUGGAGACCCCCUGAAGUACACUGAUUGGAAACUUUCUUUUUCCACUUUAAUUAAUCAGAAAAACCUUCCAAACCAAGAAAAACUGUUCUUCUUACGCAAGUAUGUUGGCGGUGCAGCAAAAAGAGCUAUAGAAGGUCAUUUUCUGGUUGGUUCAGAAACAGCUUAUAAUGCUGCCUGGAAUGUGCUCGAAGACAGGUUUGGCAAUCCUUUCCUGAUUGGCAAGGCAUAUCGUGAUAAAAUACAUUCAUGGCACAAAAUUGGCCCAAAGGAAACUGUGGAGCUCCGUGAGUUUGCAGAUUUUCUGAGCAGUGUGGAAUCAGCCAUGUCAUAUGUACAAGGAUUACAAGUUCUGAAUGACUGUAUGGAAAAUCAAAAAAUAGCACAAAAACUACCAGACUGGUUGAGCUCACGGUGGAACAGAGCAGUCGUUACUUUCCAGGAUGAAAUCGGUGCAUUUCCUGACUUUAAGUACUUCGUCUCAUUCCUCAACAAAGAGGCUCGCAUUGCUUGCCACCCUGUUACAUCUUGGCAGGCUAUGAAUCUAAAGGGAGAGAAAUCAAGGUCAAGCGAGCAAGACAUAAGAGGAUCUCCAAAAGAUAAAGUUGGUGCUAAGACAUUCACUACAAACACAAGUGAAAGGAUAGAUAAGAAGUGUCUUUACUGCAAAAGGCCACAUCACACUCUCCAUAAAUGUCGCAAGUUCAUCGAAAAACCACUUGAUGAAAGAGUCAAGUUUGUACGGGAAGAGAAACUCUGUUUUGGUUGCCUUGAGAAUGGACAUCACUCCAAGGUCUGUAAGUCUAGAAGUACAUGUGACACGUGUAAAAAACCUCACCCAACGUGCUUACAUCAAAAUCGUGAAAAAAGGGAACAGAAGCAAGAAAAUAAUCCAAAACAAACUCAUUCAACUGAAAAUGACAAGGAUGGGUCUGAACAAGAUCAACCGAGGGUAAACAACCAAGACAAAGACAAGAGUUUUAAACCAAAGCAAACACUUGAGUCAGAUGGAGCUACUUCUCUAAGGAUUAUUCAAGAAAGGGGCGGAACUCUCACUUCACCAAUUGUUCCAGUCUAUGUGUCCUCAUUGACUCAACCAGACAAGGAAAUACUAGUGUAUGCUCUGCUCGAUUCUCAGAGCGACACUACGUUCAUCUUGAAGGAUGUAGCCGACACACUGGAUGCCAAGAAAGAUCCAGUAAAGCUCAAGGUGUCAACAAUAACCUCAAGAACAAAGGUUGUAUCCAGUGAAAGGUUGACUGGUCUGGAAGUGAGAGGCUUGAAAUCUGAAGUUAAGAUCAAGCUUCCAGUAAGCUACACCAGGGAGUAUAUACCGGCUAACAGAGCUCAUAUUCCCACAAGUGAAACCGCAAUGUCCUGGCCUCACUUAGAACAUCUUGCAGAGGAGAUGUCGCAAGAAUUAGAUUGUGAGGUAGGUUUGCUAAUCGGUUAUAACUGUUCUCAGGCUCUGGCUCCAAGAGAAGUCAUCCAUGGAAGUGAAAAUCAACCCUUUGCACUCAAGUCUGUGCUGGGUUGGAGCAUUGUCGGGUAUAACAGUACCGUCAAUGAUUAUGAAGAUGAAAUAGGUGUAAGUCACCAUAUCAUUGCUAAGCAAGUCAUACCACUUACAAUGCCUUCCUCUGAACUCAAGUCAGAAGUCCAUUUUUCUGCUAGAACCCAAGUUAAAGAAGUUAUCUCCCCAUCAGACAUGAUAAAGGUUUUUGAGUCAGACUUCUCUGAAAGAAAGGGUGGAGAAGCUCCAAUAUCACAAGAAGACUUGCGGUUCCUUGCAAUACUGAAAGAAAAUAUAAAGCAGAAGCAGGACGGACACUACCAGAUGCCAUUGCCUUUUAAGGUAGAGAGGCCAAGUCUACCUAACAACAGAGCAUGUGCUGAAUAUAGACUAAAAUGCCUAAGAAAACGACUACAAAGAGAUGAGAAGUAUUGCAAAGAUUAUGUAGCCUUCAUGAAGGACAUGAUAGAAAGAGGGGAUGAAAGAGUUCCAAAGACAGAAAUAGACAGUCAAACAGUAUGGUAUAUUCCCCACCAUGGGGUUUAUCACCCUAAAAAGCCCGGAAAAAUUAGGGUCGUGUUUGAUUGUUCUGCCCAAUUUCAGAACACAUCACUCAACAAACAUCUGUUGACUGGACCAGACCUUACAAAUAAUCUCACUGGGGUCCUGUGUCGUUUCAGAAAGGGACAGAUAGCCAUUAUGUGUGACGUGGAACGUAUGUUUCAUCAGUUUCAUGUGGACCCACAAGACCAAGACUACCUCAGAUUUCUAUGGUGGGAGGGUGGCAAGAUGGACGAUCCACCAUCAGUGUAUCGUAUGAAGGUCCACUUGUUCGGUGCUGCAUCUUCACCAGGAUGCGCCAACUUCGGGCUUAAACACCUGGCGACUCAAGGAGAUGAACAGUUCAGUGAGCAAACAGUGAAGUUUAUCCAACGCAACUUUUACGUUGAUGAUGGAUUGACAAGUGUAGACAGCGAAGCUGAAGCUAUUCAGCUUGUCCAAGAAGCAAGGGAGCUUUGCAGCACUGGAAUGCUUCACUUGCACAAGUUCAUCAGCAAUAAGAAAGUAGUGCUAGACACAUUACCAAAGGAAGAGUGUGCAGAUGGAGCAACCAACCUUGACAUGGCUUUUGGAGAACCAAAAAUGGAAAGAGCUCUUGGUGUCCAAUGGAGCAUCAGUUCUGACAAGUUCCAGUUCCGAGUUGAAAUUAAAGAAAAUCCCUUCACCAAAAGAGGAGUACUGUCCACAGUAGCUUCAAUCUUUGAUCCCCUUGGAUUUUUGGCACAGAGGAGGGUUCAAUUUCUAUCAAAUGAGUUCUGGACCAGGUGGAAAAGGGAGUAUUUGCUCAAUUUACAACAAAGAAGAAAAUGGACUACUGAGAGACGGAAUGCUAAAGUAAAUGACAUUGUCUUACUGUUGGACGACAACCUGCCAAGAAACCAGUGGAAGUUGGCAAGGAUAGUGGAAGUCUUCCCAGCUGCAGACAACAGGGUUAGAAAGGUCAAGCUGUUAGUUAGUAACACAUUUUUGGACAACAGAGGCAAGCGCACAUCCCAGCCACUUUAUUUAGAGAGAGCCAUACAUAAAACAGUGCUAUUACUUGAAGCAGAGUAAAGGGUUAUCUUAAGAAGGUGCCUUUGUUUACUGUUGGUAGUUUUUUUUUGUUGUUUAACAAGUUAUUGUAUAUAGUUUAAAUGAAUCACUUUGUGUGAUUGGUGGGAGUGUGAAUGCUGUGAAAACAUCAUUGUAAAAUGCUUCUUUUUAUUUUUGAUGAAACCGGAGCUCGUGCUCUUAUUUUGAAAGGCACACUUGCCUUUCUCAACAACUUCCGGUUAGCUUAACGUGUGCACUCGUUUUUUUUCUAACGUAUGAAAGGAAGCUGAUAUAUGCUGAAUACGUUCAGAUUAAUAUAAGAGACUAACAGCAAGCAAAACUUGUUUUCUCCCCUCCCAUUCGGAGCUACAAGCAGGCAAAGUGUUCUACGGUGGUUUAUGGUGCUGCAUGAUGCUAGCUUUGCUAGUCAAUAACGGCACAAAUAAAGAACGCCAUCUGUAAAAAGAA